Molecule: long non-coding RNA, 463 nt
Organism: Impatiens glandulifera
Lineage: Eukaryota; Viridiplantae; Streptophyta; Magnoliopsida; Ericales; Balsaminaceae
Exons: 3
Source: RefSeq, a predicted model, not a curated record
AGAUCAUGUUUUUAGAUGGAAUUAUGAUACUGGAAGCCCUUGAUACUUUUUAUUUCUCUUAUUACAUUUUUUUAUUCUUUUAACUUAUGACACUUCCAUUAAUAGACACGCAUAAUAAUUAUGGAUGGAGACUGCAAUAUAUUUUUGGAACAACUUUUUCAAGUCAAUAUUGGUGCCAAUUUGAGACAACUCAAUGCUGAGAUAUUGCUUGCCUUGUUCUGGAGGUUGCUGGAGAAAUUUUUUACUACGGUUUCAUCAGGUUUCUACAAGGAUGAUGAGCAGGGUUGGCUGUGUUCACAGGAUUUCUGUCUUUUUCUCUUCAUCUAAGUCAAAACAUGUUUUCCAUGAGCAUCUCAACUUUCUAGUCACAAAAUUCAAGAAUUCCCAAGGCAGAUUUUUAUCUUGAUUUUUCACUGAAGAAGGUAUUCCAUUAGCUGUCCAACUGGAAAGCCUUCGCUCUUUC